Molecule: long non-coding RNA, 557 nt
Filed under: Homo sapiens (human)
Lineage: Eukaryota; Metazoa; Chordata; Mammalia; Primates; Hominidae
Description: non-protein coding lnc-ZBTB45-4:2
Source: RNAcentral
CACCUAUCCAUCUUUCUACCCCCCUGCCUCUGCAUGUCACUGUCCAGCCAUCCAUCUACUCACUCACUACUCUAACUGUCCACCCAUCCAUCUACUCACUCACUACUCUAACUGUCCAGCCAUCCAUCUACUCACUCACUACUCUAACUGUCCACCCAUCCAUCUACUCACUCACUACUCUAACUGUCCACCCAUCCAUCUACUCACUCACUACUCUAACUGUCCACCCAUCCAUCUACUCACUCACUACUCUAACUGUUCACCCAUCCAUCUUCUCACUCACUACUCUGUCCACCCAUCCAUCUACUCACUCACUACUCUAACUGUCCACCCAUCCAUCCACUCACUCACUACUCUAACUGUUCACCCAUCCAUCUUCUCACUCACUACUCUAACUGUUCACCCAUCCAUCUACUCACUCACUACUCUGUCACCCAUCCAUCUACUCACUCACUACUCUAACUGUCCACCCAUCCAUCUACUCACUCACUACUCUAACUGUUCACCCAUCCAUCUACUCACUCACUACUCUGUCCACCCACCCAUCUACUCACUCA